GACGAACGCUGGCGGCGUGCUUAACACAUGCAAGUCGAACGGAAAGGCCCUGCUUUUGUGGGGUGCUCGAGUGGCGAACGGGUGAGUAACACGUGUGUAACCUGCCCUUGACUUUGGGAUAACUUCAGGAAACUGGGGCUAAUAUCGGACAGGAGCUCCUGCUGCAUGGUGGGGGUUGGAAAGUUUCGGCGGUUGGGGAUGGACUCGCGGCUUAUCAGCUUGUUGGUGGGGUAGUGGCUUACCAAGGCUUUGACGGGUAGCCGGCCUGGGAGGGUGACCGGCCACAUUGGGACUGAGAUACGGCCCAGAGUCCAACGGGAGGCAGCAGUGGAAAAUAUUGCACAAUGGGCGGAAGCCUGAUGCAACAACGCCGCGUGCGGGAUGACGGCCUUCGGGUUGUAAACCGCUUUCGCCUGUGACGAAGCGUGAGUGACGGUAAUGGAUAAAGAAGCACCGGCUAACUACGUG
This 468-nucleotide ribosomal RNA is filed under the name uncultured bacterium. Its description in RNAcentral is "partial 16S ribosomal RNA". It matches the Rfam family "Bacterial small subunit ribosomal RNA", at positions 28 to 507 of the family's 1533-position model. The record is from RNAcentral.